RNAcentral lists this ribosomal RNA (834 nucleotides) under Ramularia tricherae. RNAcentral describes it as "eukaryotic LSU rRNA". It matches the Rfam family "Eukaryotic large subunit ribosomal RNA", at positions 78 to 943 of the family's 3401-position model. The record is from RNAcentral. Lineage: Eukaryota; Fungi; Ascomycota; Dothideomycetes; Mycosphaerellales; Mycosphaerellaceae.
CCCUAGUAACGGCGAGUGAAGCGGCAACAGCUCAAAUUUGAAAUCUGGCGCAAGCCCGAGUUGUAAUUUGUAGAGGAUGCUUCUAGGUAGCGACCGGUCUAAGUUCCUUGGAACAGGACGUCAUAGAGGGUGAGAAUCCCGUAUGCGACCGGCCCGCACCUUCUACGUAGCUCCUUCGACGAGUCGAGUUGUUUGGGAAUGCAGCUCUAAAUGGGAGGUAAAUUUCUUCUAAAGCUAAAUACCGGCCAGAGACCGAUAGCGCACAAGUAGAGUGAUCGAAAGAUGAAAAGCACUUUGGAAAGAGAGUUAAAAAGCACGUGAAAUUGUUGAAAGGGAAGCGCUUACAACCAGACUUCUGGGCGGUGUUCCGCCGGUCUUUUGACCGGUCUACUCGCCGUCCCGAGGCCAACAUCAUCUGGGACCGCUGGAUAAGACCUUAGGAAUGUAGCUUCCCUCGGGAAGUGUUAUAGCCUGUGGUGAUGCAGCGCGUCUCGGGUGAGGUCCGCGCUUCGGCAAGGAUGUUGGCGUAAUGGUUGUCAGCGGCCCGUCUUGAAACACGGACCAAGGAGUCUAACAUCUAUGCGAGUGUUCGGGUGUCAAACCCCUACGCGUAAUGAAAGUGAACGGAGGUGGGAAGGGUGACCUGCACCAUCGACCGAUCCUGAUGUCCUCGGAUGGAUUUGAGUAAGAGCAUAGCUGUUGGGACCCGAAAGAUGGUGAACUAUGCCUGAAUAGGGUGAAGCCAGAGGAAACUCUGGUGGAGGCUCGCAGCGGUUCUGACGUGCAAAUCGAUCGUCAAAUUUGGGUAUAGGGGCGAAAGACUAAUCGAACCAU